RNAcentral lists this signal recognition particle RNA (97 nucleotides) under Motilimonas pumila. Its description in RNAcentral is "Bacterial small signal recognition particle RNA". It matches the Rfam family "Bacterial small signal recognition particle RNA". Rfam says of the family: The signal recognition particle (SRP) is a universally conserved ribonucleoprotein involved in the co-translational targeting of proteins to membranes. The record is from Rfam by way of RNAcentral. Lineage: Bacteria; Pseudomonadati; Pseudomonadota; Gammaproteobacteria; Alteromonadales.
CUAUGGUCCCCUCGCAUUGAUACUCCGUGAACUCGGCCAGGACCGGAAGGUAGCAACCGCAGCGGACGACUCAAGUGCCGGGGUGUGGCUAUAGGGU